RNAcentral lists this ribosomal RNA (253 nucleotides) under uncultured bacterium. Its description in RNAcentral is "partial 16S ribosomal RNA". It matches the Rfam family "Bacterial small subunit ribosomal RNA", at positions 524 to 776 of the family's 1533-position model. The record is from RNAcentral.
UACGGAGGGUGCAAGCGUUAUCCGGAAUCACUGGGUUUAAAGGGUGCGUAGGCGGUAUUUUAAGUCAGAAGUGAAAGCUCACAGCUCAACUGUGGAAUUGCUUUUGAUACUGGAAUACUUGAAUCAAGUUGAGGUUGGCGGAAUGUGACAUGUAGCGGUGAAAUGCAUAGAUAUGUCAUAGAACACCAAUUGCGAAGGCAGCUGACUAGACUUGUAUUGACGCUGAGGCACGAAAGCGUGGGGAGCGAACAGG